This 460-nucleotide ribosomal RNA is filed under the name uncultured bacterium. RNAcentral describes it as "partial 16S ribosomal RNA". It matches the Rfam family "Bacterial small subunit ribosomal RNA", at positions 338 to 795 of the family's 1533-position model. The record is from RNAcentral.
CCUACGGGAGGCAGCAGUGAGGAAUAUUGGUCAAUGGCCGGAAGGCUGAACCAGCCAUGCCGCGUGAAGGGCAGGGGCCUAAGGGCGUUAAACUUCUUUUGUGCGGGAGCAAUAAUGGUCACGUGUGGCCAGACGAGAGUACCGUACGAAUAAGCAUCGGCUAACUCCGUGCCAGCAGCCGCGGUAAUACGGGGGAUGCAAGCGUUAUCCGGAUUUAUUGGGUUUAAAGGGUGCGUAGGCUGUGAGGUAAGUCAGCGGGGAAAUGCCCCCGCUCAACGGGGUGAAGUGCCAUUGAUACUGCCUUGCUGGAAUGCGGAUGCCGUGGGAGGAAUGUGUGGUGUAGCGGUGAAAUGCAUAGAUAUCACACAGAACACCGAUUGCGAAGGCAUCUCACGAAUCCGCGAUUGACGCUGAUGCACGAAAGCGUGGGUAUCAAACAGGAUUAGAUACCCUUGUAGUC